UAGUCCAUGCAGUAAACGAUGAUCACUAAACGUCUGGGUUUUCCUGGGUGUUGCAGCUAACGCGUUAAGUGAUCCACCUGAGUACUACGAUCGCAAGAUUAAAACUUAAAGAAAUUGACGGGGGUCCGCACAAGCGGUGGAACAUGUGGUUUAAUUCGAUACUACGCGAGGAACCUUACCUGGGUUUGACAUGCAUGCGGAUAUUUUAGAGAUAGAAUAGUCAGAAGUUUACUUUUGACGCAUGCACAGGUGCUGCAUGGCUGUCGUCAGCUCGUGUCGUGAGAUGUUAGGUUAAGUCCUUUAACGAGCGCAACUCUUUCCGUUAGUUGCUAACCAUUAAUUUGGAGCACUCUAAUGGUACUGCCUGGGAAACUAGGAGGAAGGAGGGAAUGACGUCAAGUCUCAUGGCCCUUAUGUCCAGGGGCUACACACGUGUUACAAUGACUGAUACAAAGAGU
This 458-nucleotide ribosomal RNA is filed under the name uncultured bacterium. RNAcentral describes it as "bacterial SSU rRNA". It matches the Rfam family "Bacterial small subunit ribosomal RNA", at positions 791 to 1247 of the family's 1533-position model. The record is from RNAcentral.